This is a long non-coding RNA of Heterocephalus glaber (naked mole-rat), 7863 nucleotides long. The record is from Ensembl. Lineage: Eukaryota; Metazoa; Chordata; Mammalia; Rodentia; Bathyergidae.
GCUUAAUACCCAGCAAAGGAAACAAUUCCUGGCCCAGUUCUUAGACUAGCCCCCAGUUCUUUGACUCUCAUAUUUCUGUUUUCUCCAGGGAUUCGGAUUGUGAAACUCCUGUCCCUGUGAUGAUUUUUGACCCUUGCUUUCCAGUCUGCCUGGAAAUUACUCCCUGUUAAUUUGCACCUUGACCAUGACCUAUGCUACCUUCUCCCAGACCCUGCUUUGUUCCAUCUGCUGGAUUUCCAUUGUCAGGGUCCUGCCCAGGACUAACCUCUGCUCAUGAACAUCUUCUGGAAUGACUGUCUUGGCACUGUGAGUAGAUUUCAUCCUCUGGUGGUCACUACGUGAAUUUGAAUUCAAUCUUCUGCUCAGCAUUUGGAGGUUCUGUCAGUCAAAGGCACCAAUCUUUUCUGGAAACUACUGUGUGUGUGUGUGUGUGUGUGUGUGUGUGUGUGUAUGUGUGUGUGUAUCAUCUCUCAAACAUGUUCAAAGAAGACUUGUGAUUUUUAUUUAACAGGCUACAAAAGAAGGCUCAGAGAGUUUCAGGAAUCUCCCUAAGGUCACAGAAUUUGUUCCAAAGCAUGUUGUCUUUUCUAUAGGUGACUCCCAAGGAGGUAUGAGGAAGAUACAGGAGGUAUAAGGAAGUUAGGAAAGUCAAGACAACUGUGGUCAUGAAAAGCAGGCCAGGAGUUUAAGAUGUUUAUAGUGGUCAGUUUAUGAGUGAUUCACUUCAGAGGAGUGGACUUGCUAGUGAGUGGAGUCCAGGAAAAGGCCACAAGUAUGAAGGAAAUCGAGGGACAUUGUUGUAAUCAAGGUCACAGAGAAUCUGUCAGUAUGAAGCUGAUCAUAAGGAAUUAACUCUUCCCUUCUAGUUUUAUACCAAGAUGAAAUGUAAUGCUUUCCCUGGAAGUGGGUGUUGUGAAAGAAUCAUCCUUGGAAUAAUGAUUGCUGCAUUCACCUGGCCUCUAGACACAAUGCUGGUAUUUCCAUGCAUGCUGUGUAUGUUUGCAGCAAAUUUGCUCACACAGUCGGACCAGUCCUUUUGGCUAUCAUGUCUAGGAAGUAUGAAUUUAACAUUUGUGAAAAAAGCACAAAUGUUGCCUUUCUGGUUGGCUAUAAAUAGAAAUGGUUCCACUUCCCUGGAUGUUCCUGAUGUAACACAUCUUAAUCCAAAUGAUAGCACUCCCUCCAAGUAUAUGCAGAAUAGCUAACAUUCUUCCUUUCCCUCUUAGAAGGUGGAUUAGUACCACCUGUCUCAGCUAACAUUCAUGAGAUUCAGCAGGAAAAACAGUAUUAGGUGGGGAAAGCUCCUUUGAAUGUGGUGUUUUAGGAUUAUUUUUCUGGUUGCUAAACUGCUACCUUUGUAUUCAAAGGUGAUGAGAUGUUUUCUGGCUGGGAGACAGAAACAACCCCUAAAGGUGGGAAGUUAAAAGAGGGCUGAUGAAGAUGUAGAGUAGAGCCCAAGUUGCUGGAGGAGGAUAUGCCACUGGGUAGUAGGGUUGCUUACAUUUUCUUCUUGCUGUUACAGUGGAGGGGAGGGCUGUGGUCAUAGGCUUGCUUCCCUUCCAGCCCUUGCUUCCCUUCCCUUCUUCUAGGGAAGGUAUUAACCUGAGUUCUCAUUCCAGCUGGAUCUUUGCCAGACAGUCAGGGCAGCUCUAUGUUUCCCUGUACCAGGCCAAAAGGGAAAAUGCAAUGCUUCCAUGUUCAAAGGAUUGUCUUGGAGCUGGGGUCCUGAAACUUGCUCUUGGAUUUGGGAUUCGAAAGGAGCAGCAUCCUGGGCUGGGGAUUUAACCUUUUGCUGUCUGUGUGUUUCCCCUUUCUAAGUGGAGAUCAUGGAAUUCUCUUGCAGGAGUGUUGGGAAGAUUAAUGAGUUAAUGUUUGGUGAAGUGCUUUGAGAUUCUCAGAUGAAAAGUGCUACACAAUAAUUAUGAUAACACUUUGUUUUUACAUAGUGGCUUUCUUUCAGAGAGCUCAAAUUGCUUUAUAAAAAUUAUUUCAUUAAUCCCCAUGGCAUUCCACUAUGGCAGGUAGCAAUUACUAUGUUCUGUUCUCAUCAGGAAUCUGGAACACAGAGAAGUAAAAUGACCUGGCCAAAGUUACACAGCAGCUCACUGAUAAAAAUCAUUUGCUGAAUUUGGAUCUGAUUCUUUCAUCCACUGAUUCACUCCUUCAUCAAAUAUUUACCAAUUAUCAUGUGCUAUAAUCAUAUGAUAUGAUUUUUUCCUAUCAUAUGGUAGAAGAGGACCUGAUGGAAAAUUAAGUAAAGCAUAUUUUCUGUCAUUGAAGAGAUUUAGUGUGUCCACUUGAAUGAGUAAAUAAGUAAUUAUAAGAAGACAUGACAAUCAUUUAGUACAAUCCAAAGAAGGACAAAAACUUCAUCCAAUGUAGGCAAAAAGAAGUAAUUUUGAUUUCCCAAAGAGAUAUCAGAUUAGUGAACUCUUUCUUGAGUGAUAAAUUCACCAGUACCAAAAAGAAGGGGAAGAAAUAUGUCUUAAAAGAAGGAAGAAGCAUAAGUCUGGGGUGUGAGAUCCACUUGGCAUGGUGGAAACAUAGAACUUGUUAGAAAGAGAAAUGAAUUCUGAAAUUUGACCUUUAUGCACAAGGUAAUCGAAAAGCAUUAGAGGUUGUUCAGGUAGAAAGAAUGUGGUGAGCUUUACGGUAGUCCUCCCGUACCUGAACUUUACUUCCUAUGGUUUUGGUUGCCUAGGGUCAAAUGUGGUCUGAAAAUAGUAAAUGGAAAAUUCCAGAAAGAAACAGUUCAGAAGCAUUGAAUUACAUGCGUCUGAGUAGUAUAAUGAAAUCUUGCAUCAUCUUGCUCUGUCUCACUAGGAAUGUGAAUUAUCUUUGUAUCAGGUGUAUUUAUGCUGUAUACAUUGCCUGCCCUGUAAGUUACUCAGCAGUCCUCUUGGUUGUCAGACUGACUAUCAUAAUAUUGCAGCACUUGUGUUCAGAUAAGUCUUAUAUUAUUUAACAGUGGCUCCCAUAUCUCAAGAGUAGUAAUGUUGACAAUUAGCAUAUGUCAAAGUGAAGCUAUAAAAUGCUUCCUUUAAAUAUCAUCUCUUAUCAUCACAAGAAGGGUGAAUUCAACGUAAUGAAAUAUUUUGAGAAACAGACAAAUACACUUGCAUAACUUUUAUUAUAGUAUCUUAUUAUAUUAUUCUAUUUUAUUAUUAAUUACUGUUAUUGAUCUCUUACUGUGCCUAAUUUAUAAAUUAACCUCUAUAAUAACUAUAGAAAAGAACAUAGCAUACAUAAGGUCUGCUACUACAAUCCUUGCUUUCAGGCAUACACUGUUAGGGAGGCUCGUCUAGAAAUCUAUUUCCAGUGGAUAAAGAGAGACUAUGUGUAUUUAGAAAAUUCGAUCUGGUGGCUGAUUAUCAUGAAGUUUGCAUGUGUAAAAGACCUAAGUCCUCCAGCUAGUUCUCUCACUCAAAGUCCAGUCAGGCACUGGGGCCUUUUUCUCCUCAGUAGUUUUAGGAGCUCCCAAUUCAAUAUUGUUUUGUAAUUCUGCACAUGGAACUUCAGGAAAACAGCUACAACAAUAGUCUUUCAUGGCUAGUAUGUUUCUCAUUUAGAGAAGCAUAUAACUGUCUUUUUAAAGAAACAAAUGAUCUAUAAUGAAGUUUUUCAAUGAUAGUACAGGGAGUGACUGUCACUCUUCUGCUUUGAAAUCCAUCAGGCAAAAUGGACUCAGGAGGUCAUACCUGGCACCAAAAGAAUAAGUUAAUAAGUAAAAAUCUUAGAUAAAAUAAAGAAAGAGCAGGAAGAAAAAUCUGUCUCAUUCUACAAUCCACCAAUUUUUCCUGAGAUUAUUUGUCAGCUCUAAGGUCACUGACAGGCAGUACAUGGACUGAGUCAUUGGUACCUGCUUCACAGAUGUGGUGGGCAAAGAUAUCCUGUGGUGAGGAAGGGUGAGGGACACAGAAAGCGUCCAGACACUGGGAAUAAGUCUAUUAGUACUGCAAGGUUCUACCAUUUCUUAAGCUUCAGUGACUUUCAGCUUUAUUUCUUUCCCAUCACCCAUACACCAAAGUUUUAUUCCUAAGAUAUAGGAGACUGUUUUCCCUUACUUUUCCUUUUCCCCACCACCUUAAUGUCUUGUCUUUCAUUUCCACCUUUUCUUGAACUUAGAGUUUGUCCUGCCCUGCCUUACCUUGUCCUGUCCUUCCUUUCCCAUCCCUUCCAUUCCCUCCCCUUCCCCUCCUGCCCCCUCCUCUGUUCUCCUUUCCUCUCAUUUCUUUCUUUCUCUCUCUACUUCCUUCCCCUUCCCUCCUUCUCUGUCUUUCUCUCUGUGUAUCUGUCUCUCUAUGUCUGUCUCUCUAUGUCUGUCUGUCUGUCUGUCUGUCUGUCUCUCUCUCUCUCUCUCUCGCACAUCAACUCUUUUUAAAAUUUUUGGACAGGGUCUAAAUAAGUCUCUAGAUUUCCAGGCCUAAGUUAGAAUUUCUGAUCUUCCUCCCUCAGCCUUCCAGAGUGCUGGGAUUACUGGUAUGUAUCACCAUGCCUGGCUGAAUUUACUUUUUCAAUGUCAUAAAAGGCAGUAUAUUCAGGAUCUAGGCUCCAAGUUCAAGGCCAGGAAAAAUUAAGGAAUUUUCCCAAGGUUAUGCACAUGGGGAUGAGUGGAAUAAGAAUAAGAGUGGGGCUCGUGUAGUGGUGGCAUGCAAAUGAAUCCCCAGUUCUAGGACAGACAUUGUCCUGGGCUGUGAGGAAAUCCUAGUGAAUAAGAUGGGAAAGUUCUUAGAGAAUAAAAAGUCAUAUUCUAAAGGCAAAUGAUAUGAAAUAAGCAUAUAAUAAAUAAAUUAAUGGCAGAGGGGGAAAAAGCAUGGGAUGGGGACACAGACAGUGCUAUAUGGAGAUUAAUCAGUUAGCUUUCUGUCACUAUAACAAAAUAUCUGAGAGAAUUAACUUACAAAGAGAAAAGGUUUUACAAGUCCCAGCCCUGACAAGACUGACCCACUGCUUUGACUUGAAGAGUUGUAGAAAAUAACAACAUGCACAAGAUUUUUAUACUUAGGUGUUUGGAUUUCCUCUUGUUUCCUCUUUGCCUCCAUCUGAAGAGCAUUGGAGUGGGCUGAUGACAUGGAGGCUGAGAGACAGCGCCUCCAUUGCAUGAUUUAACCAUGCUUCUUCCAGAGCAAGGGGGUGCAUUGCCUCAUGACUUUCUGGGUGGGUUGGAUUUGUUUUUUGGCCUUCAUCAUUUACACUGGUCAUUGACACUACCAGACCUUUCUACCUAACUGCACACUUAAAAUGUGGUCACGCUUCUGUGACUCCCUUUGCACCAUGCCCUGGCUGCCCGAGUACCUUAAGAUCUCCAUUCCAGGCAGGCCUGGGCUAAGCUCUUGAAAAGUCUGGAACUAGCCACCACUCCUGCACUUACCUUUAGCAGUAACACACGUUUCUCCUUUUAAUGUUCAUGUGCGUUCCAUAUUUCCAGAUUGAAAACUCAUCUGGUUAAACAUCCUCAGACCAUAUUAUGAUGUUUACUGCAAGAGUAAUAUGAAUUCUCAAGAGGUUCUUUAAAUAACUCUGGCUAGGUAAAUAAAUAAAUGAUACCAGUUGUCAUUUACUGCACACCUACCAUGUCCCAGGAACACUUUUAAACUACUGACAUGUAUGCAUUUAGUGCUCACCAAACCCUCUAGUGUAGCUGUCCUGGUGAGGUGAAUUUGAGAGCAUUUGAACACCUGAACAGUAGCCGUGCCCCAGUCUGCAGCUUCUAGGUAAAAAGGAAGGGCCUGGCUUGGGAGAUAAUCUAUAAUUUUUAUAUAUGAAAAUUCAAGAUUUUAACAGUGUGGGGUAUAUGUGUGUAUAUUUUAUAUACUUAUUUUAUGGACACAUGUUAGACUAUGUUAUAACUACAUCAUACACUGUGAGAACUGAACAAAUGUGCUUCCUGGGCAGCGUACCACCUCAGGCCCAGCAAAGAGCCUCUAAGUCAACAGUCUACUCUGGGAUGGUGAGAAAAGCACAGCAUUGGAGCAGCUGUAUAACAGGGUGGUUACCUCUUCAUUUCAUGGACCCUUGAGAUCCUGAGUUUAGAUAGAAGUUAGUGGCAAACUGUCAGCUAGAUCACACUGUUGUGGGCAUUGGAAGUGUAUUCCUAGAGUUCGUUGCAAAUUAGGGGCUUGGUCCAUGCCAUUAAUUUCUUCUUUUUUUUUUUUUUGUACCAGGGAUCGAACUCGGGUCCUUGUGCUUGUGCAGCAGGUGGCAAAACCACUGAGCUAAAUCCCCGGCCCAUCAUUAAUUUAUUCUUUGGGAGGAAGCUCUGGGUAUGGAAACAAGGUCCUGGUACAUCCUAGGUGAAUGCUCCACCACUGAAGCAUACCCACAUCCCUCAGUCAGCUGAACAGGGCGCUGAGCCCACUCUCAGGGAAAUGGGGUCCACAAGAUUCUCUUCUUACUCUUACCCUCCACGGGAGCACCUGACCCAGCCCAAGGACUCAUUUUUUAUGUGAUAUUUGCAAGCUUCUCUAUCUAUACCUUUAUUCCUCCUGGGUAAAAAGUUUGAUAGGAAUGUAAGUGGGUAUCCUUGAAAGAAUAUUUCUAUUUUGACAGGGACCAGUGACUUUGAGUAGCUUGAGAGAAUACUCACGUGAGCCUGAGAAUGCCAUGAGAGAUUGGGCAUAGACACAUUCCCUUUUACCCACCAUGACUCCACAGCCUCCCUAGCUGUUUGUCUCUCUCUUCUACUGAGGCUUCAGGUAGUAUUCUUUUACAAAAAAGGGGCUCUGUGGCAAUGAUGAAGGUAUCUGGAAAAGUUAAAACCUUCCAGCCAAGUUCUAAGCAUCAAUCAUUUUGUUAUCAAUUUUCUGCAAAAAGUUGUGGAUUUUUUUCCCCUGCUCAUAAAUGCCUCCUAGAAAAAUAAGAGUUGCAGUAGGCACUUUCUUUUCCCCAGGCACAGAACUAUCAAACUUCUCAGCUGGAAUUCAGAGACAGUAAGCAAACUCCCUAAAUACUAACAUGGCAUACGAGCUGUUUUCCUGGCAGGAUGGUUUUGUGCCCAUCAACUUGGGAGUGCUAUGGCAACUCAGUGGGGCCUUGCUGAAUAGCAGUGGCACUGGGACUCUUCACUAAGGUCCUUCUGGUGCCAAGCAGUCCCCAAGUCAGAGCAUGUGCUGAUUUCAACAUUUGUUGUCACUGUAGAUAAAGAACAAUCAGCAAAGAUCCUGAUCCCAUGACCCAUUUCUCAAUUCUUCUGGUUUCUGGGAAUCAGCAUACUGAUUAUGUAGACUUGGCUGACUAGGAGAGGCUUGGGAUUCCCCUACUGGCUUAUGUCCUAUUUUGCAAAAUGAACAACUGUUUUCUUUUUCUUCCUCAUUUGCAAGGUAGGGAAAAUACUUCCUCUAGCCCUGUAGCAAAUCUCCUUACUUUGCAAUUGCAUCUUGGUGUUCUGCUAGGUUGGUUAGGUGAAUAGGGGUCUGGUGUCACAAGGCUAAAGAGAAGUGAGGGCCUGGAUAGUUCAUUUUUUUUCUUCCUUAGCCUUUCCUUUUUCUUAUUCCCUCUUCUACCUUUCAUUUAUGUUUCAGGUUAUUUAAUGGAAAAUUGAAAGCAAUAUUUUAAGUAAAAUGCCUGCGUUCUCUUAAUGGGCAUGGCUGUGGCCAACAGACCUAUAGGUCGAAUGGCUAUGACACCAAGCAGUGGGCACAUACACGUGCGUCGGCCAGUGUGCCCAAAUCAAGUACUGUAUGUGUGUGGAACCACAUGCUCUUCUAGAGCUUUUCAGAGCCGGGUGUAUGCUGGGCUGCAAGUGUUUUUCACUUCUUUUUAGUUUUUAAAUGAAGACCCUUUUUAGUUAUCUACCUCGGAUACUCCAUGAAAUGGAAGAAUACCUCACUGCAUUUACCAACUCCAUUGUGUGGCUUAAUUGAU